UACGUAGGGUGCGAGCGUUGUCCGGAAUUAUUGGGCGUAAAGAGCUCGUAGGCGGCUUGUCGCGUCGGAUGUGAAAGCCCGGGGCUUAACCCCGGGUCUGCAUUCGAUACGGGCAGGCUAGAGUUCGGUAGGGGAGAUCGGAAUUCCUGGUGUAGCGGUGAAAUGCGCAGAUAUCAGGAGGAACACCGGUGGCGAAGGCGGAUCUCUGGGCCGAUACUGACGCUGAGGUGCGAAAGCGUGGGGAGCAAACAGG
Molecule: ribosomal RNA, 253 nt
Filed under: uncultured bacterium
Lineage: Bacteria
Description: partial 16S ribosomal RNA
Rfam family: Bacterial small subunit ribosomal RNA
Source: RNAcentral